GACGAACGCUGGCGGCGUGCUUAACACAUGCAAGUCGAACGCUGAAGCUCAGCUUUUGUUGGGUGGAUGAGUGGCGAACGGGUGAGUAACACGUGAGUAACCUGCCCCCUUCUUUGGGAUAACGCCCGGAAACGGGUGCUAAUACUGGAUAUUCACUGGUCUUCGCAUGGGGGUUGGUGGAAAGGGUUUUUCUGGUGGGGGAUGGGCUCGCGGCCUAUCAGCUUGUUGGUGGGGUGAUGGCCUACCAAGGCUUUGACGGUUAGCCGGCCUGAGAGGGUGACCGGUCACAUUGGGACUGAGAUACGGCCCAGACUCCUACGGGAGGCAGCAGUGGGGAAUAUUGCACAAUGGGCGCAAGCCUGAUGCAGCGACGCCGCGUGAGGGAUGGAGGCCUUCGGGUUGUGAACCUCUUUCGCUCAUGGUCAAGCCGCAACAAUGGUUGUGGUGAGGGUAGUGGGUAAAGAAGCGCCGGCUAACUACGUG
This 483-nucleotide ribosomal RNA is filed under the name uncultured bacterium. Its description in RNAcentral is "partial 16S ribosomal RNA". It matches the Rfam family "Bacterial small subunit ribosomal RNA", at positions 28 to 507 of the family's 1533-position model. The record is from RNAcentral.